This 322-nucleotide ribosomal RNA is filed under the name Flectomonas sp. RNAcentral's name for it is "SSU rRNA". It matches the Rfam family "Eukaryotic small subunit ribosomal RNA", at positions 634 to 955 of the family's 1831-position model. RNAcentral also lists the same sequence under 2 other names. The record is from RNAcentral. Lineage: Eukaryota; Cercozoa; Glissomonadida; Sandonidae.
GAUUUCUGACCUGAAACAUUUUGCCGGCCACGGUUUCGUGUGUUAGUGCUUUAUGUUCUGGUCAUCCUUCCAAUCGCUAUUCACCUUUCUUCAUUGAUGGGUGCAUGGUAUUGGAUCUUUUACUUUGAAAAAAUUAGAGUGUUUCAAGCAGGCUUUAUGCUAUGAAUACAUUAGCAUGGAAUAAUAAUUUAGGACUUCGGUUCUAUUUUGUUGGUUUCUAGGACUGAAGUAAUGAUUGAUAGGGACAGUUGGGGGUGCUAGUAUUCAGCGGCCAGAGGUGAAAUUCUUGGAUUCGCUGAAGACUAACUUAUGCGAAAGCAUU